Molecule: ribosomal RNA, 247 nt
Filed under: uncultured bacterium
Lineage: Bacteria
Also listed under: 1 other name
Description: partial 16S ribosomal RNA
Rfam family: Bacterial small subunit ribosomal RNA
Source: RNAcentral
CACGCCCUAAACGAUGUCAACUAGUUGUCGGGGAUUCAUUUCCUUGGUAACGCAGCUAACGCGUGAAGUUGACCGCCUGGGGAGUACGGCCGCAAGGUUAAAACUCAAAGGAAUUGACGGGGACCCGCACAAGCGGUGGAUGAUGUGGAUUAAUUCGAUGCAACGCGAAAAACCUUACCUACGCUUGACAUGCCAGGAACUUUCCAGAGAUGGAUUGGUGCCCGAAAGGGAACCUGGACACAGGUGC